ACACGCAUGACACACUGCAUAUCAAUAAGCGGAGGAAAAGAAACUAACAAGGAUUCCCCUAGUAACGGCGAGUGAAGCGGGAAGAGCUCAAAUUUGAAAUCUUCAAGGUUUGACCUUGACGAAUUGUAGUUUAAAGAAGUGUUUUCGGUUAGAGGAGUAGUAAAAGUUCUUUGGAAUAGGACAUCAUAGAGGGUGAGAAUCCCGUAUUUGACUAUUCUUUCUAGCUUUGUGAUACACUUUCAAAGAGUCGGAUUGUUUGGGAAUGCAGUCCAAAAUGGGUGGUAAAUUUCAUCUAAAGCUAAAUAUUGGCGAGAGACCGAUAGCGAACAAGUACCGUGAGGGAAAGAUGAAAAGAACUUUGAAAAGAGAGUUAAACAGUACGUGAAAUUGUCAAAAGGGAAGCGUUUGACACCAGUGUUGUUUUUCCGAAAAUCAAUUAAAAAUUGAUUCAUGCCAGGUUGUAUUGACCUUAUCAGCUUGCAAUUUGGUUUUGGGUCUCUUUUUGAUGCACUUUUCGGUUAACAAGUCAACAUCAAUUUCUUUUGUUGUAAAAAGGGUCAUGAGGAAGGUGGCUUUCUUUUCGGAGAAAGUGUUUAUAGCCUUUGUACCUCCUGCAAUCGGAGAGACUGAGGUCUGCAGCGUAGAUCCUUCUGGGAUUAGAUACAUUUGUGCUAAGUUAUAGCUUUUCAUAGACAACUUGUUGACUAUGUUAAGUCUUGUAGCUUACUCGCUUAUGUAUUUUACCUACGCUUAGGAUGUUGACGCGCGUGUGUGCGUG
RNAcentral lists this ribosomal RNA (778 nucleotides) under uncultured Neocallimastigales. Its description in RNAcentral is "partial large subunit ribosomal RNA". It matches the Rfam family "Eukaryotic large subunit ribosomal RNA", at positions 23 to 639 of the family's 3401-position model. Lineage: Eukaryota; Fungi; Neocallimastigomycota; Neocallimastigomycetes; Neocallimastigales. The record is from RNAcentral.